Non-coding RNA from Piliocolobus tephrosceles (Ugandan red Colobus), 736 nucleotides. The record is from the annotation of a RefSeq genome assembly. Lineage: Eukaryota; Metazoa; Chordata; Mammalia; Primates; Cercopithecidae.
AGGACGCAGAUUUGCAUGGAGGCCACACCCUCCUCUGAGGCAGAGGAGAUAACACAGGGCUGGGGCAGGCCCAGAGCUGGGGUCUCAGGAGGCAGCGCUCUCGGGACGUCUCCACCAUGGCCUGGGCUCUGCUCCUCCUCACCCUCCUCACUCAGGGCACAGGGUCCUGGGCUCAGUCUGCCCUGACUCAGCCUCCCUCUGUGUCUGGGUCUCCUGGACAGUCGGUCACCAUCUCCUGCACUGGAACCAGCAGUGACGUUGGUGGUUAUAACUAUGUCUCCUGGUACCAACAGCACCCAGGCACAGCCCUCAAACUCGUGAUUUAUGAUGUCAGUAAUCGGCCCUCAGGGGUCUCUGAUCGCUUCUCUGGCUCCAAGUCUGGCAACACGGCCUCCCUGACCAUCUCUGGGCUUCAGGCUGAGGACGAGGCUGAUUAUUACUGCAGCUCAUAUUCAAGCAGCUACUAUCUCCACAGUGGUCCAAGUUCAUGGGGAAAUGAGACCAAAACCUGCCCUGGGCUCUCGGGUUCCCUUUUUGUUCUGAAGAUGCUUCCUCAACUGGUGCAAGCGGCUUCCUGUAGCACGGUCUUCACAAUUCUCAGCUCCUCUCCUUCCCCACUAUGAAGUCCAAAAGAAAACUUGCGCUGUGGUUUCUCUUCUGGGACAGUGACAGUUUCCUGAUGAUUGUGUGCUGUAGUCCCUGAAUUGCAACUCUUCUCAGCUCUUCAAAUGCAGGG